Molecule: unclassified non-coding RNA, 347 nt
Filed under: uncultured fungus
Lineage: Eukaryota; Fungi
Description: sequence contains ITS1
Source: RNAcentral
CACUCCAGCAAGAACCAAAAACUAGAGGUACAAAAGCGUAGAUUGCCCAAAUCACGCGCCCUACUGAACCUGUAGCCAGAAACGCAGGCAGGGCCUCGGAAGCUGGUCGGUCGAGAACGUCGGGAUAAUCCAUUGAGGCUGCAAGGUAAGCGAAAAUGCCGACGAAGGCGAGGGCACCGACCACCAGGCUCAGGCUGCCAAUUUCAAUGAUUGUUGGAUGACGCAUUGGAUCUCGCUGGUGAUGAUGAAGUGCAGGCUAACAUGUAUAGCACUGGAUGGGGUAGUGCAGGGGAGGUUUGUUUUUUAGGUGUAGUGGACAGCAAGAUUUCCAGAGCCACGUUGUACCG